Molecule: transfer RNA, 89 nt
Filed under: Candidatus Altimarinota bacterium
Lineage: Bacteria; Candidatus Altimarinota
Description: tRNA-Ser
Rfam family: tRNA
About the family: Transfer RNA (tRNA) molecules are approximately 80 nucleotides in length. Their secondary structure includes four short double-helical elements and three loops (D, anti-codon, and T loops). Further hydrogen bonds mediate the characteristic L-shaped molecular structure. tRNAs have two regions of fundamental functional importance: the anti-codon, which is responsible for specific mRNA codon recognition, and the 3' end, to which the tRNAs corresponding amino acid is attached (by aminoacyl-tRNA synthetases). tRNAs cope with the degeneracy of the genetic code in two manners: having more than one tRNA (with a specific anti-codon) for a particular amino acid; and 'wobble' base-pairing, i.e. permitting non-standard base-pairing at the 3rd anti-codon position.
Source: RNAcentral
GGGGAGGUGACGGAGCGGUUGAACGUGCUCGUCUCGAAAACGAGUAAGGCCUGAAACCUUCGAGAGUUCGAAUCUCUCCCUCCCCGCCA